This 70-nucleotide transfer RNA is filed under the name Nothobranchius kafuensis (Kafue killifish). Its description in RNAcentral is "tRNA-Ile". It matches the Rfam family "tRNA". From Rfam's summary of the family: Transfer RNA (tRNA) molecules are approximately 80 nucleotides in length. Lineage: Eukaryota; Metazoa; Chordata; Actinopteri; Cyprinodontiformes; Nothobranchiidae. The record is from RNAcentral.
GGAGCUGUGCCUGAAUUAUAGGACUACUUUGAUAGAGUAAAAUAUAAGGGUUAAAGCCCCUUCAGCUCUU